Molecule: long non-coding RNA, 1393 nt
Organism: Ipomoea nil (Japanese morning glory)
Lineage: Eukaryota; Viridiplantae; Streptophyta; Magnoliopsida; Solanales; Convolvulaceae
Exons: 4
Source: RefSeq, a predicted model, not a curated record
UGUUGAUCCAUUCUCUUCCACACUCUCGUACAGCUAGCAUCCUCUCACAUCUACCUAACCUUAUCUCUCUAUCUGUUCAGACAAAAAACCCCAUCUCCGACAGUAGAACUCGUCAUCUGCCAUUACAGUGUUGAGAUCUUCUUUAAUUCGUAGAAGAUCUCAACCCCUAAACCGAUUGCAGUAAGAUCCGAUUAGGGUUCAUUUGUGAAAACCACACUGAGAUCGGUUUAGUUGUUGUUCGAGGAUCUGAACUAUUAAUCUCCGAUCUUGGUUUUUAGAAUCGGAUCGGCAUUUUUAAGGUUCUAACGUCAAGCUUCGUAUCUCAAUCUUCAAUUACUAUCCUAUUCGACUACAUCAGAUGUAAGAUCAAGCAGAUCAGAAAAUGGGUCCGUACGGUGUUCAUGACUUAGAUGCAGAUUAAAGGACUGAAAUGCAAGAUAAGUUUAAGAAGGUGUAGUUGUUAGAUCUAUAUGUACACAUUCAAAGGUGGGAAGGUAAGCAGGCAUCAACAGAGUUCAAUAGGUGUAAAUUUGUGCAAUGAACAAAAAAUUCUUAGGUGAGGGAAACUAUGCAGUGAUGAAGGAGGAAGAAGAUUGAUGAUGAUGAUACAACAGAACAACAGUUUACAAGCUACAAUAUACAAAAGAAGAAGAAACGGGGAAGGAACAAAAGGCUAACAGAGUUGGUUAUAAAGCAGUUAUAAAUCAAAAAUGACAAAUGGACAAGUUUGAAACGCUAGAUGGUGAUUUGGACAUUGACUUUGACGUGAAGCUGCUAUCCGUUGACACCCCUGCAAGCUGGCCGGAGUGUACAUGCAACGUAGACUCAACUUGGAAAUGAAGUUGUAGAAGGUAUUUGGAGUAUGAGUUUUUGUGAACACAUCAGCUAGCUGGUUAAUGGUAGCAACGCGCAGCAGUUUUAGGACUAGUUUUUGUAGCUUCUGCCUCACUAGGUGGAAAUCAAUCUCAAAAUGUGCUUCGUCCUCUCAUGGAAAACUGGGUUCUUAACUAUUGCAAUAGCGGAUUUAUUGUCACAAUAUGACAUGGUCGGGGAAUCCACAACUAUCCCCAAGUUUUGCAGCAUGUAGAUUAGUCAUUGCACUUCACAUGUUGUUGUUGCAAGGGCCCCUGUAUUCAGCCUCAAAGCAACUCCUAGAGAUGGUGACUUGCUUCUUUGACUUCCAAGAAAUCAAAGUGGUGUCAAGGAACAUACAAAAAUCUGUGACAGAUUGCAUAGUAUCUGGACAUGCAGCCCAGUCAGAAUAAGUGAAGCCUUUGAGCUGCAAUGAAGACGUUGCUGAGAAGAAAAGACCCUGUCCCGAGCUGUUUUAAUAUACCUUAAGACCCUGUGAGCUGCCUGCAUGUGUAUAUUAGUAGGGUAGUCUAGGAAUUGA